Molecule: ribosomal RNA, 811 nt
Filed under: Parahaliea mediterranea
Lineage: Bacteria; Pseudomonadati; Pseudomonadota; Gammaproteobacteria; Cellvibrionales; Halieaceae
Description: bacterial SSU rRNA
Rfam family: Bacterial small subunit ribosomal RNA
Source: RNAcentral
CAAGUCGAGCGAGAAAGGCCUUCGGGCUGAGUACAGCGGCGGACGGGUGAGUAACGCGUAGGAAUCUACCUGGUAGUGGGGGACAACAUGGGGAAACUCAUGCUAAUACCGCAUACGCCCUAUGGGGGAAAGCGGGGGACCUUCGGGCCUCGCGCUAUCAGAUGAGCCUGCGUAGGAUUAGCUUGUUGGUGAGGUAAAGGCUCACCAAGGCGACGAUCCUUAGCUGGUCUGAGAGGAUGAUCAGCCACACUGGAACUGAGACACGGUCCAGACUCCUACGGGAGGCAGCAGUGGGGAAUAUUGCGCAAUGGGCGAAAGCCUGACGCAGCCAUGCCGCGUGUGUGAAGAAGGCCUUCGGGUUGUAAAGCACUUUCAAUUGGGAAGAAAGGUUGCGUGUUAAUAGCACGUAGCUGUGACGUUACCUUUAGAAGAAGCACCGGCUAACUCCGUGCCAGCAGCCGCGGUAAUACGGAGGGUGCGAGCGUUAAUCGGAAUUACUGGGCGUAAAGCGCGCGUAGGCGGUUUGUUAAGUCGGAUGUGAAAGCCCCGGGCUCAACCUGGGAAUUGCAUUCGAUACUGGCCGACUAGAGUACGAGAGAGGGAGGUAGAAUUCCACGUGUAGCGGUGAAAUGCGUAGAUAUGUGGAGGAAUACCGGUGGCGAAGGCGGCCUCCUGGCUCGAUACUGACGCUGAGGUGCGAAAGCGUGGGUAGCAAACAGGAUUAGAUACCCUGGUAGUCCACGCCGUAAACGAUGUCUACUAGCCGUUGGGAGACUUGAUUUCUUAGUGGCGCAGCUAACGCACUAAGUAG